Lagopus leucura (white-tailed ptarmigan) is the source of this 7856-nucleotide RNA transcript. It is a transcript of the gene named HemK methyltransferase family member 1, with no coding region annotated. Lineage: Eukaryota; Metazoa; Chordata; Aves; Galliformes; Phasianidae. The transcript is spliced from 15 exons. The record is from RefSeq and is a predicted model, not a curated record.
GUGGCUGAGUGGCUGAGUGGCUGAGGCAGAGUCGCCGAGCUGAAGCGAGCUGAGGCCAGCGGAGCUGCAAGCCUGGUGACCUUUUUCUUCUGCCCUGAGGAGCAUCUGCUGAUUGUGAUCAGGUGGUGCUUAGCCCAAGUGGCUUGUGCACUGAGUGUUGUGUGAGUCUCUUCAUGGAUUAGAUCAGCUGACAGAAACAAGGAGCCCACGUGGAAACCAGGAGGUGACUUUGCAACAAUGAGAUGCGUCAGCCCCUCACUCUUCAGGAGGUUCUGGGGGCUUUUGCCUCAGUAUGUGUCAGUGGGACCUAGUCAAAGUCCUAACCUCAGUUCCAACCAGUCGUCUUUGAGACAGAGCUGCAGUGUAAGACCUGGGCUGCUGACUGCCCCUGAUGUGGUCAGCUACUGGCAAAAGGUGUUUGAGAAGAACGGGAUCCCUGAAGCACGAGAAUCCAGUGAAUAUAUCGUGUCAUUUGUCUUGGGAGCAAAAACAUUUCAGAGCUUGGACUCCCAAAAGCUCCGCUCUCCGCUUACAGCAGUGCAGCAGGAGCAGAUCCAGCAACUGAGCUGCAAGCGACUGGAAAGAAUGCCAGUGCAAUAUGUGCUUGGUGAGUGGGACUUUCAGGACCUGAAUCUGAAGAUGAGACCUCCAGUAUUUAUUCCUCGUCCUGAAACAGAGGAUCUCAUCUCUCUGGUUGUGGAGGAAGAAUCUCGGAAAUGUGAGGCGAAGAAUUCAGCCUUCUUGAUUGCUGUCUCAUCUCCUGUGAUCCUGGAGAUUGGCUGUGGCUCUGGAGCAAUUGCUCUGAGUCUCCUGUGCAAGAUACCACAGAGCCGAGUGAUAGCUGUGGAUAAAGAAGAGGCUGCUGUGGAUCUCACCAGGGAGAAUGUACAUAGGCUGCAACUCCAAGACAGGAUCCACAUCCUCCACCAUAAUGUUUCAUAUGGUUCUGCCAAACAUCUGCUACCUUGGGGCCCAAUGGACUUCAUAGUCAGUAACCCUCCAUAUGUCUUCCAUGAAGACAUGGCUUCCCUGGAUGCAGAGAUCCUCUGCUAUGAGGACCUUGAUGCACUGGAUGGGGGAGAUGACGGGAUGAGAGUCAUUAAAAUAAUUCUGACUCUGGCUCCUUCUCUUCUGAAGGAUUCUGGGAGUGUGUUUCUGGAAGUUGAUCCCAGGCACCCUGAUUUGGUGGAGGAUUGGCUAUGUGCACAUCCCGACUUGCUCCUCGCCCUUCGUGCUGUUCACAAGGAUUUCUGUGGCAAACCCAGGUUUCUGCACAUCCAAAAGCAGAGCAGAUGACAACUGUACCAGGAACAACAUCCUUUCUUGCAGUAAGCUUUUUCGCUGGUGAGCCCUUCUUGAAUGGCUUCAUGAAAGCUGUGUGACAAAAGAAAUCUCCAUUUUCCAGUGUAUGACUUUUCCAUGCAGUGACAGACUCCUCAUUUCCCAGCACAGACUUCAUCUAGAGUUGCAGAGGAUCGCAGGAGUGUUUGGAAGUGUUUGACCUUCCUCAGGGAACCUCAUGAAACUCUAGUUCACUCCGCUCAAGUGACUCGUUAAUCUCAGGACCAAAUAUAGAAGAGUUCGCAGCUCCAGAUAUUUCCUUGCUGUGAUAGCAAAUUUCAAAGAAAUAUGUUAAAAAUACAGCUUGUCAACAUGUCGUAUCACUCAUUUUGCCUAGGAAGAACAUCACCUUUUUUUUCUUUUUUUUCAACCUUGAGAUAAAUUUUAGAACAUGACCAAGCUGGAUGACAAUGGUCUCAACUCCAGCUUAUAGUAGCUCACGAGUGUGCAGUUAUAAUGGGACAUGACUAACUUGCACACUUCAAAUUCAGGUUUCUUUUUAGGACCCUGAUGCUUUGCUGUAGCUCACCAAAAGCAAAGCAGCCUUUGUUUCCUAGUCCUGCUGAAUGUCAUUGAAACAUCGCUGCACGUUACACCAUGAUUGCUUAGGACAGACAGAGUUCUGAAGCUCAGAUAAAGUGAUUUUGGUCAUACGUGGGUUGAGAUGGAUUUGUGAAGAGAAUAGACAACAAUCUGUGGAUAAGGUAGCCCUUUCCUUUGGAAUAUACUCGUUUGGACUAGAAGGGAGAGCCUUUUAUAUAGACAGUUAAGGACCACAACUGGAAAAGCACCUCUCCCUGACAUGCUUUCACUCCAUAUUUGAGGCUGUAAAGGGUCACUCAAGAGGAAGGAGUUCUUGGUGUUGGUUAAAAUUAUCUGAAUCUACAGCACCUGACACUUUGUGGAUGCUGCCAGAAACAGUAAAACCAUAGUAAUAAAGGUAGUGUUGCCUGUAGGUUAAAUUGAGUCUUGUAAGAAAUGCUUUGCAAUUGAGUUUUCAAACAUGCUAGCAGAUCUGAAUAAAUAUCUGGGAUCCUUAAAUUGUUUCUGAUAGUAAUACUAAUGCUUAACUUCCAGGUAAGGCUUUGAAAUGUGAGACUUUACAAAAAGGCCAGAAUGACUGCUCCAGUUUCUGAGAUGGAGAAGUUGAAAAGCUAGCCAGUGAAGGAAAGAGAGAAGGACACCAAAGGAUCUGGAUCACUCCAAAUGAAAACAUUUGCUGGGCCACGGGAGCUGCAGUGUUCUGAGAUCAUCCUGCCCAUGGUGUGGAGCAUCAGGAAAUGGAUUCUCAUCCCCCAGGCUAGAACUGCAGGGUGGUGAAGAAUUUGCAGUAUGGAAAAGAAGAGUCUACCAUCUAAACAUCCAGGACCAAUGCAAAUGGCAUGGGAAAGGGCUCAACUGUUCUUAAUGACACUUCUGGCAACCUCACUGGACUUGUUUCUCACUUCACUGCUUCUUAUCCUCUUUUAAACAGUAUAACCAUUACAGCUGUCAGCUGGGAGGAUGAUAGUGCCUUGAGAGUUGGAAGUAGUUAUUGCUAUUCCUUUCUCUUUGCCUGAAUAAAAGAUGGGAGAAUGUGGCCUGAGAAGGUUUGGUUUGAGGAGCCUCGACCUUGAGAUGUAGUAUGAGGGCAAUUUUCAGUUUGCAUCACUUGCAGAGUCAUUGCUAAAUACAGCAGGACUUGGGCAUGCAAAAAUUCUGGGCGUGAUGGAGGAGGAGGAGGGAGUGGAUACCAAACCACUUUGUGGUCCAUCUAGAGAAGACAAGAUCCUUCAGAAAGAGUGUGGUCAAACAAAGCUGAGACUUAUAGGAGGGAUGGCCUGUGCUGCCAAGUUCCUGCUUUGCUAGUCUGAAAUGAAGUGCACAGGUGCAGAGCUGAAUGUCCAUAAGGUACUGGCUUUGUACAGGAGGCAAACUGAGUAUCUCUGCUUAAUGUGUGCAUGUCAGAGGGUGAAUGGAACCCCUUCUGCAAUGUGGAUGGUUUGUGGUGGCCCACAGUGAGCAACGGUGCAGCAGUGAACUGAGCAUGGCACUCUGAGCAGCCUCAUUCCAUCAGAAGCACAGCACUGCUCUCAGUGGCACAAAGAUGCUGCUUGCCUGAGUUUCUGUAAACACCAGUUGCAAUGCUAAAUGUGAGUGUAUGAGAGACCAAUGGUUUUUAGUGGGCUAUCUUGAGCAACUCUUAGUGGAAGAUUUGGAUUUCCACUUGGUGCUUGCUGAUGUAGUUUCAGCUGCCUACGUGCAGCUUUCUUCCUGACAGUUAGCUUGUCUCCUGUGUUUGUAUAUGUGCUACAGCAUGGGCUCUGUGGGGCACAGUGUGCUAUCAAGAGCCAGCUGCAGUGGAGUCCUGAACCUAGUAGCCUGAGCUGCUACAAAAGCAGCGUUGCCCAGUGCCUUCUGAUGGCAAAAAUCCUCACUGUUGCUCUGAAAUACACAUAGGUUUGUGUUGGGCUUUGAUAAUCCAGAGUAGGCAGCUGAAGUCUGACCUCAGUGAAGUUGCCCUGCAUGCUCCAGCUGGGCUGAAGUUGACCCACGUGGUGCUAUGCAGUGUUUGUGUUCCAUGAAACAAGGAUCCCCUCAUUGAUUUGAGCCUUUCCAGGGACUUGAGGUUGUAAAGCUGGCAAGACUUUUCUCCUUUUCCACUGCCAUUCACUGAGGAUGACCUUCUGACCAUCCCUUUUGACUUUGAGCUUGCUGCUUCUUUCAAGCCCUCCUCUGACCCUUUGCAAGCCAAGCACAGCGUGUUUGUAUUGCCAUAAUGCCUAAAAGCUGUUCUCACAGGUUGUUCCAUCUCUCUCUAAGCUUUCAGUACUCAUUUCUCCCGCCAGUGUCUUGUGUAACUCUCCUUGUGCCAACACUGUUGGCUUCCAUGGGUGAAGUUCCUUAUGCUAGAUAAUUUGGAAUGAGCUUGUGACAGAAAAAUCCCACUUUAAAAUGCACUUUACUCCUGCAAUGCCUUUCAUCUGAUUUUGUGGCUGAUAGACUUUGCUGAGGUAAAAGUCAUACUGCUAUAAUGUGUUUUGUUUGCAGAUUAAGGCUAUCCUGCACUCAAACAAGACUUACUCAUUUAAUGUGUAUGGACAGGGGGCACUCAGGCUGCAAGGAGUUUUUGUACAUCAGCUUCCAGAUCAGUGAGUUUUUAGUCUCAUUUGUGUCAGCAGACAGCAGCCCUUUGUUCAGCAUCAUAACCUUUUCCGCCUCAGUGACGCACAGACACACACGUUUGUGAUGCAGAUCCUGAAUGUGCAGUAAACUCCAUGGAUAAGUUCCAUAAGCCCAGCAAAGACAUUAUGUGUCUUACUUGGAGGAUCAGCUGCGUGCUCUAUUGACCAGUGUUGAAGCCAAGAUUGUGAAGGCAGUUAAUUAUUCAUUUAUUUUUGCUUUUCCAUCCAUCAUUGCCUAUGUGAGAAAGAAAAAGGGAGUAGAUAGUGAGUGAAGUGUUUGCUUUGAACAGAUUGCCUUUGUCAGUUCUAAAAAUCAGGAUAAAUAUAUUAGUUAAGUAUUAUUUAAUUUAGCAGCUGAAUAACAUUGUUUCUAAGAAGGGCCAGGGUGAGAAGGCCAGGAUAGGUUAUGAGCAUGAAAGGGCCUGAGUCAUGGACACGGAAGUUUAAAGAUGAAGGCAUCUGGCUGUUGCUGGUACCCUGAUGGCAGCAGUAACUGCUUGCAGCCCCAGUCCGCGACAGCUGGAUCCUGCUAGCAGCUCCUCUUCUCAUGCAGAGUGUGGAAAAGCAAGGAGCGCCUGGGAGGCACCAUCCUGCUGCGGAUGGUGUGCCCGUUCAGGGAGCUCGGAGGUAUUGCAGUGCUGAAGAAGCUCGUGUGGGCACCUCAAGCGUCCCAGUGCUGGUAGUACACAGGAGCAUGACACUUCGCUCAAGAACUGACCUGCUGCUGUUCUGGCUGAAGGGCCCUUUUCUGUGCUCUUCUGACCCAGCAGUGCCUUACUCCUCCACCAAAACCGCGCUCAGCCCUGAUGCGCUCACAUCCUGCUGGGCUCUACCCUCCUGCAUCCUUGCUGUGGGUUCUUGCAGAAUUCCCUCCAUCCUGAUCCUCUCGGACUUUGUCCCUAACAAAAAAGCUCGGCUCAGGCUUCUCAGAAUUAAUAUGCGUUGCCCUAACUCAGAACUUCCACUUUCUGGGAAGUUCUGUCAGUUAAAGCUUGUUUGUUCUUUAUUUUCCCCUUCUUUAACCAGAAUUAAAUAGUUCACUUUUUAGAUUUCCCAUGACGAAUGCUGUAUCCCAGAUUUUGAUUUUAGAAAUGCUUUGCUCUGUGAUUUCUGAAUUUUCAUUUUGAAUUACAUUCAUUUAAAGUUGUUGUACAACUUAUGCUGAUUUGCUAAGUAUGCACUGAUAGUCAGAGUAUGUGUAUUGUGUAGGAAAACAUUGUUUUGAUCAGCUGCUGCAUAGUAGGAUUGAAACAUCUUAUCUUAUUCCCUAGAACAGGAAGUCCAUUGUUUGCUAUGUAAUGAAAGCUUGGCAGUGCCAUUAUGACACCCAGGAACGUCUUCAUCUAAGAAAGCAGUUUCAGUGGUGUGAAGGGAGCUGUAGUGGUGGGCAGGCCAAGGCAGUCUCAUCCUGGGACUGUGGACUUCACUCGAGAAAAGAUGAUUCCCAGCCCUUGUGGUGACAGGGAAGAGCCUGGAAAGGAUGACUUCCUCCAGACUCAGCAGCCUAAGGGCCAAAAGCGGCCCCUGCAGCCACUCCACCCUGACAGCCCUUCAGUCUAUUGAUUCCCAAGACCUGGCACAGGGCUCAGCCCCUCAGAUGAGCCCUGUGCUGUUCACCUGGAUGGAGCAGGAGGGCCCUGCUGAGUUCCUGGAAUAGCUGUCUCUUCAAUACCAGGAAGUAGUUUUCCUGCAUCGUAGCCUGAUUUUAGACAGUGCUGUGUGACAUAAAUUAACUUCACGUUGCUAGUCAUCCCCAAGGCUCAAUUCUUUCAAGCCUUUAUGUUAGAGAAAGUGUCUCUGCAUGAGGCCACAUGAAGUUCUGUGUAUCUCCCCAGUGAACCCCCAGGCAGUGUUUGUUUCAGCCAGAGCUGCAGCCCAGCCUGGCGUUGUACUGCAUGCAGGGCCCAGCUUGGCCCAGCAGCUGGCAGGCCCCGGUCUGGCACCAGGCAUCACCCCUGGGCCUGCACUCAACAAAUCGCCCGUCCUGCUCACCACAGGGCCAGCGGAAGGGAGCGGGCCUCUCCCUGGGGUUCAGUGGGACUUCCUGGAAGCGCUGCAAGGAGCUUCCAAGAGCUGAAACAUGACACAUGGUUCUGUGCAUGUGUGUUAAGAGUCUGGCUGAAAGACAGAGGGAGCGUGGUUCCAUGGGCCUCAAAGAGCCUCCCCCUCACAGCUCUGCCGUGCAGCGUUGGGUUGGCUGGGCUUGGAUGGGGUGUCCCAGAGACUGGACACAGGCUGGUUCUUUGCGAAGCGUGGCUUUCUGUGUGGCAUAGGGUGAGCAGGCUCUGCUGGGGUGCCGGUAGCUUGCAUUCUCUGCUUCACAAAUUAAUGCUUUACUAGGAAUUAAGGACAUCGAGUCUGUCCUUCAGACAGCAAAGAUGAUGGAAAGGUCUUUUUUUCAUAUUUUUUUUCCACUAGCAUGGAAAACAUAUGCUGCUCAUCUCGUUACUGAUAAUAGCCCAGGAAUGCUGCAUCCCAGCAGCAAUGGCCCUGUGCCUCACUCAGCAGGUAACAGCCCUGUUGUGCACUUGGAUAUGGACAGAUGAAGCCAGCAGCAGUACUCAUGCAAAAAUCAUGAGUUUAAGCACUAGUUUGAGAAUCCUGCAAACAGGGAAGAUAUGGAAAGUCCCCAGCUUUAAGCUUUCAAAAGGGAAGAAAAGGAGAGCCUGCAGCCCAGCUGUGUGGGGAGGGGGUCUUGGACUGCUGGAAAAGAGGGAGGUGGGCCUGGCAGCCUGGGCAGCAGGGGAAUAGGAGGGCACCACUGGGAAUUAGCUCAGCAAGUGUCAGGUUUGCUGCUGUCAAAGAGAAGCAUUGUGAAAGUGGUCAGAUCUUAACACUGAGCAUGUGAGAAGGCUGGCAUCUACUCUCGGAAACCCAUGGCAGCUGAUUACCAGCCCUGUUUUUUCUUUUGUGUAUUAUGUGACUACAUUUUUCCAUUUCUUCUUGACCUCUGUUCAUCUACCUGAAUUCUUCAGCCUUUAAACAAAGAGGCUAUGAAACAGAAUAGAGUAUAUUGAAUUUAUAUUAGAGGUGGCAUAAUCUUGCAGCAACUGCUCUGGCUGCAUCCUUAAGAGCCUCUUUAGCAGGAGAAGCCUGCCCUGGCAGUGCCAUUGUGCCCCAGGGCAGCUUGUGGCUGGGAAAGCCAAGGAAUGGUUGUACAUGCCCAAGGCAUUGUGAGUCCUCUGCUCACCUGGGGAAGCCACCAGUUUGGACAUUUCCUAAUAACAAGAGGCCUCGUUCUUCCUGCUGUUCUGAAAUUGUGUGCAUCUGAGUCCUGUCCUGGAGUGCUGGGAGAUUUUCUCACUGUCUCUCUGAGGGUUUUCUCCAAAUAUACCUGUUGGUUCCAAAGCA